This is a small nuclear RNA of Myotis lucifugus (little brown bat), 104 nucleotides long. NCBI's taxonomy places the organism in Eukaryota, Metazoa, Chordata, Mammalia, Chiroptera, Vespertilionidae. The record is from Ensembl.
GUGCUUGCUUUGGCAGCACAUAUACUAAAAUUGGAACAGUACAGAGAUUAGCUUAGUCCCUGUGCAAGGAUGACAUGAAAAUUCAUGAAGUGUUCCAUCGCCCU